This 399-nucleotide ribosomal RNA is filed under the name uncultured bacterium. Its description in RNAcentral is "bacterial SSU rRNA". It matches the Rfam family "Bacterial small subunit ribosomal RNA", at positions 28 to 419 of the family's 1533-position model. The record is from RNAcentral.
GACGAACGCUGGCGGCGUGCUUAACACAUGCAAGUCGAACGGGGCAAAGUGAUAGCUUGCUAUUAUGGAGCCUAGUGGCAAACGGGUGAGUAACGCGUGAGGAACCUGCCUUUCAGAGGGGGACAACAGCUGGAAACGGCUGCUAAUACCGCAUGACAUAUAUUAAGGGCAUCCUUGAUAUAUCAAAGAUUUUAUCGCUGAAAGAUGGCCUCGCGUCCGAUUAGAUAGUUGGCGGGGUAACGGCCCACCAAGUCGACGAUCGGUAGCCGGACUGAGAGGUUGACCGGCCACAUUGGGACUGAGAUACGGCCCAGACUCCUACGGGAGGCAGCAGUAGGGAAUAUUGCACAAUGGAGGAAACUCUGAUGCAGCCAUGCCGCGUGUGUGAAGAAGGCCUUC